GAAGAGAGUUCUUGUUCUUGU
Molecule: small nuclear RNA, 21 nt
Filed under: Arabidopsis thaliana (thale cress)
Lineage: Eukaryota; Viridiplantae; Streptophyta; Magnoliopsida; Brassicales; Brassicaceae
Description: snRNA_12402
Source: RNAcentral